Molecule: RNA transcript, 4767 nt
Organism: Prosopis cineraria
Lineage: Eukaryota; Viridiplantae; Streptophyta; Magnoliopsida; Fabales; Fabaceae
Gene name: pentatricopeptide repeat-containing protein At1g56690, mitochondrial-like
Exons: 4
Source: RefSeq, a predicted model, not a curated record
UUUUAACCUAUGUUUUAAUCCAAACAUGGUCGAAAAGGUUGGCGCACAUGCAUCGCCGCCCCUUUCAGUUUUCACCAUCGCCGUGGGGCACCUCGCCAUCAGUUUUUCCCACUCAGUCUUCCUCUUUACCUCCUGUCCUUGUGUCUUCAAGCUGUCGUGUUCUUCUCUUUCCUGUCCCUUUUGAUUUCUCGAGCGCAUUUUCCUUCUCCGUCCGAGGUUCACUGCUGUCAACUUCAACUAGAGGACCCACCUCCUUUUUUCGCCGUCACUUCUUUCCCCUCUGGUUAUUCUCUGCGGUCUCCGAUUGCUAGUAUGCGUUACUAUUUUCAAUUGCUUGAAUCUAGCGUGAUUUCUCUGGCCGUGUCGUCUGAUUAAGAUGGUUCAACAUAGGUGUUUGGUUGGUUUGCUUGAAGAACUGAAGAUAGUGGGAGCGUGGGGCAAUUGGGAGAAGUGGUUUUUAUAAUAGACUAUCAUUCUUGGCUAGUGGAGGUGUAGUGGCUGGCAAUAUUAAUGGAGAGAAUCUGACUCUAUGCCUGCAGGAAUAUCAAAUGUUUUGAUGCACUGCCGUCAUGACACCAAUAGACCUCCUAGCAUUAUUUGUGACUUGGAAUUAGCUUCCUCCUUCACAGCCUUAGCUUCUUCAGAUUCUUAGCCUAAGCUUGACUGCCAAAAAAAAAAAAAAAAAAUCUUAGCUUGACAGGAGCUGCAUUGUGUCUUUCAGCUCUGCUGUAUUGACAAGGAUAAUCCUGCCAAAUUCUUCCAGUUAAAACCUGAAUUUGAUGACUCAUUAGCAACGAAGUUGGUGCUAGCAACCUUGUGUUGUUCAUCUAUGCACAUGAUCUUUGACACUUGCAGAUUAUACUGCACUGGUGCAGCGAUUUCACUGAAUUCCUUGAUUGCAAGAUACUCCCGCACUGGCCAAAUUGAGAAUGCUCGGAGGGUGUUUGAUCAAAUGUGUGAAAGAAGCAUUGCUUCUUGGAAUACCAUCAUUUCUGGGUACUUACAGAACAAUCAGCCUCAUGAAGCCAAAUUUCUAUUUGACAAGAUGCCUGAGAGGAAUACAAUUUCUUGGAAUGGUAUGAUUUCUGGAUACAUAAAAAAUGGGAUGGUUAAUGAAGCAAGGAAAAUAUUUAAUAUGAUGCCUGAGAGAAAUGUUGUUUCGUGGACUGCAAUGGUUAGGGGCUAUGUGCAACAGGGUAUGAUUGCAGAGGCAGAAUCACUUUUCUGGAAAAUGCCUGAAAAGAAUGUGGUGUCAUGGACAGUAAUGUUGGGUGGACUUCUACAAGAAGGUCGACUUGAGGAUGCAUGCAAGCUAUUUGAUGCCAUGCCUGUGAAAGAUGUUGUGGCCAGGACUAAUAUGAUUGGAGGAUAUUGUGAGCAAGGCUGUUUGGCUGAAGCUCGCCAGCUAUUUGAUGAAAUGCCAAAAAGGAAUAUCAUUACUUGGACAACAAUGAUUUCAGGGUAUGCUCGUAAUCAGCAAGUGGACAUUGCUAGGAAGCUCUUUGAAGUGAUGCCUGAGAAAAAUGUGGUGUCUUGGACAGCGAUGCUAAUGGGUUACACUCAUUGUGGGCGGAUGGAAGAGGCUUCAGAGCUUUUUGAUGAUAUGCCAUUAAAGUCAAUUGUUGCUUGUAAUGAAAUGAUCAUGGGUUUUGGUCUUAGUGGGGAGAUGGCCAAAGCUAGACAGGUUUUCGAGCAAAUGGAGGAGAGGGAUGAUGGAACAUGGAGUGCCAUAAUUAAGGUUUAUGAGCGAAAAGGAUUUGAGCUGGAAGCCCUUGACAUGUUUAUACGGAUGCAAAGAGAAGGGGUUGGGUUGAACUUCCCUUCUUUGAUUAGUGUUCUUUCUGUUUGUGCUAGUCUUGCUUGUCUUGAUUAUGGUAGAGAGGUUCAUGCUCAGUUGGUCAAGUCCCAAUUUGAUCAUGAUUUAUAUGUUGCCUCGGUUUUGAUUACAAUGUAUGUCAAAUGUGGUGAUCUUGUGAAAGCAAACCAGGUCUUCAAAAUGUUCACUUUUAAGGAUGUUGUCAUGUGGAACUCUAUGAUCACAGGUUAUGCUCAGCAUGGCCUGGGACAAGAAGCUUUAAAUGUUUUCCAUGAAAUGUGUUCCUCUGGAGUUUCACCAGAUAAUGUAACCUUUGUUGGAGUUCUUUCAGCUUGUAGUUACAGUGGAAAGGUGAAACAAGGGCUUGAAUUCUUUGAAACAAUGAAAAACAAAUAUCAAGUGGAGGUAGGAAUAGAACAUUAUGCUUGCAUGGUUGAUUUACUUGGCAGAGCAGGCAAGGUAAAUGAAGCAAUGAAGCUAAUACAAAGCAUGCCAAUGGAAGCUGAUGCUAUUAUUUGGGGUGCGUUGCUAGGUGCAUGCAGAAUCCAUAUGGAUUUUGAUGUGGCUAAAGUUGCAGCAGAGAAACUAGCACAGCUUGAACCUAAAAAUUCUGGGCCUAAUAUCUUGCUUUCAAAUCUCUAUGCCUCUAGAGGAAGAUGGGGUGAUGUUGAAAUGCUAAGGAAAAAAAUAAGAUCUAUGAAUGUGAGCAAAUCGCCUGGCUGUAGUUGGAUUGAGGUGGAGAAGAAGGUGCAUAUGUUCACUAGGGGAGAUAGCAAAGGCCAUCCUGAGCAGCACUCUAUAAUGAGAUUGUUGGAAAGGUUAGGUGGAUUGAUAAUGGAAGCUGGCUACUCUCCAGAUGGUAGCUUUGUGCUUCAUGAUGUGGAUGAAGAAGAGAAAACUCAUAGCUUAGGUUAUCAUAGUGAAAAAUUGGCCAUAGCAUAUGGACUUUUAAAAGUGCCCCAAGGGAUGCCGAUCAGGGUAAUGAAAAAUUUACGGGUUUGUGGUGAUUGCCAUUCUGCAAUCAAAUUAAUAGCAAAAGUAACUGGACGGGAGAUUGUUCUGAGGGAUACUAAUAGAUUUCAUCACUUCAAGGAUGGAUAUUGUUCUUGCAAAGACUAUUGGUGAUUGCUGGAAACUGGAAAUGAAAUGCAUAUGGCCAAGCAUAGAAUUUGAUUGAAAAAUGUUGCGGAUAUCAUAAAUUGGUUGAGUAUUAGUUCAAUUAUGUGAAUUGGCUAGCAAAUGAAUCUUUCCUGAAACAAAUUGACAAAGAUUGAUGGUUGUGGUACAGAUUUUGGAAUGGUAUAUGUCAAAAACUCUUCUUUUCCUAUUUGGAAUAGUUCAUAAUUGGUGGAUGUUGAUUUUUUAACAGUUCUUUUAUCCUUUAUUGCUUCCACAAAAAAUGUCAAGCCCCUCACUAGAAAACUUUCAUCUUCUUACCCAAGCACUUUGCUGAUCUUUAUAACUUGCAAGUCUUUUGAAUGGAUGUGAAUAUGAUUUGCAUGUCAAGAUGUAGGAUUUAUUUGGUUCUUUUCAGCUUGCUUUAUUUUGAAGGAUUUAGGUGUUGAUGGAACAGCUAUGAAUGCUGGGGCAGCUAUUUUGGUGGAUUGAGGUGAAGAGGCAGAAGAAUUGAGGAGGGACUUAGGUAGUGAUGGAGGAGGUACCGAGGUCAAAAGGUCAAGGGAAAACUUUAUACUAAGUGGAAUGAUAAGGGUUAAUGCAUUAACUCAACAAUUUGGUGAGCUAUAUUAGAGUGAUGCUUAAAGCUAAUGUGCCCUUCAAUAUGGCAAAUUGGGCAAAGAUACCGAGUCACUAAAGGACAUAAUCUGGAAUAUGUCAUUGGUAAGAUAUUUUUUUAUUACAGCUUUAUAUAUCAACGAAUUUGUUAUAUUAACCUAAUUAAUUUUGCAGUUGGAAUUUGAGCACGAUGAGAGUCAAAAGAAAUUUGUACUAUAAAAAACUGAGACAACUUGUUGCAAUUUCAAAGUAGGGGUCACCCAAAAAUUCCCUUACUCCUUAACCUAAUUAAUUUUGCAGUUGGAAUUUGAGCACGAUGAGAGUCAAAAGAAAUUUGUACUAUAAAAAACUGAGACAACUUGUUGCAAUUUCAAAGUAGGGGUCACCCAAAAAUUCCCUUACUCCUGAGUUUUGUGAUUAACCUAGAUUAGUGGACUACUUUUUUUUUUUUUUAUUUAACUUGUAGUAGUGAAGAGUUUAAGGUAAUAUUUAUUUCUCAAUGUUAGCGUGCACGCGCACAUAGGUUGAAAUAUUUUUUGUUUUGGUAGUUAUUAUACGUUAUGAACAAGGAGAGGAAAAGGGGUAAGGAUCAAAUGGUUUUAAAUCUUGUGGCAAGCUUUUGGUUUUGGCUUGAACAGAAAAUCAGGGAAACAUUUGGGAUUCCCAUGUGAAGGAGGUUGUUGACAAAAUUGUAAGUAGUAUUGAUCAUGGAAAGGUUUAGCUAUUGGUUGUGCACGAAUCGAAUUAUGACAUGCUUGUGCCUACACCGAUGCAAAAAUUUUAUAAGAAGAACUGAGCAACUUCGUAGCCUGGACUAAUUAUCUAUUACGAGUUUCACAACCGAAGAAAAAGGUAUAUUAAUUAAACAUUUAUCAUCUUUGUACUUUCUAUCUAAAUUGAGCACUAAUAUUGUGUUUGUAAUCUAUUGACAAGUUUUUAAAGUCGUCCAAUAAUAAUAAUGGAAAGGGGAAGAGCAAGAAAAGGAAGACCCCUGAGGAGGCUAAGGAUUUUAUUACAUGUCCUUGGAAUUGAUCUAUCAUAUAUUCCCAGGAUCAACCUACACUUCCUCCUCUUAUAAAGGCUAUCCCUGUACCCACCUCGAAGGCUUCAUUGAAAUUUGUGGUUGUUGGAUAGGGAGACACAGUGAAAGAUUAGAAAUAUUAAAAUUUUUAUCUUGAUGUAAACCGAACGAAUUUGUUUAAGUCAAAGUAAAACAA